This 253-nucleotide ribosomal RNA is filed under the name uncultured bacterium. RNAcentral describes it as "partial 16S ribosomal RNA". It matches the Rfam family "Bacterial small subunit ribosomal RNA", at positions 524 to 776 of the family's 1533-position model. The record is from RNAcentral.
UACGUAGGGGGCAAGCGUUGUCCGGAUUUAUUGGGCGUAAAGGGCACGCAGGCGGUCUGGUGCGUUUCCAGUGACAGGUGGGGGCUCAACUCCCACAGGCCUGGGAAAACGGCCAGACUUGAGGACUUCAGAGGGACGCGGAAUUCCAGGUGGAGCGGUGAAAUGCGUAGAGAUCUGGAAGAACACCAAAGGCGCAGGCAGCGUCCUGGGAAGUACCUGACGCUCAGGUGCGAAAGCGAGGGGAGCGAACGGG